RNAcentral lists this ribosomal RNA (330 nucleotides) under Triticum aestivum (bread wheat). RNAcentral's name for it is "partial small subunit ribosomal RNA". The record is from RNAcentral. Lineage: Eukaryota; Viridiplantae; Streptophyta; Magnoliopsida; Poales; Poaceae.
UUACUGUUCCAAUAUCGCUACACCCUUCGUGUGUGGAACGAUAUUCUUCGCUGGCAUGGCAUGGAUCACGCUCAGGCUACUACUUGGUCAGCGAGGGGCUCGGUGUGGGAAUGGUGGAAUGGAAACGUAUAUCUUCGUUCUGAAUCCCCCAAGACGCUCGCCUCACUAAUGAUGCUUAACUCCUGGGAAAUUUGGACGGAGCGCAAUGCUAGAGUUUUUCGCUACACGGCCGCACCUACGACGGUCGUCAUUAGUAAGAUAAAAGAGGAGGUGUCGCUUUGGGUGUUGGCGGGCGCCAAACAUUUGAGUGUUGUAAUGCCGCGAGAGUAG